This 590-nucleotide ribosomal RNA is filed under the name uncultured Actinomyces sp. RNAcentral's name for it is "bacterial SSU rRNA". It matches the Rfam family "Bacterial small subunit ribosomal RNA", at positions 28 to 614 of the family's 1533-position model. The record is from RNAcentral. Lineage: Bacteria; Bacillati; Actinomycetota; Actinomycetes; Actinomycetales; Actinomycetaceae.
GACGAACGCUGGCGGCGUGCUUAACACAUGCAAGUCGAACGCUGAAGCCUAGCUUGCUGGGUGGAUGAGUGGCGAACGGGUGAGUAACACGUGAGUAACCUGCCCUCUUCUUUGGGAUAACGCCCGGAAACGGGUGCUAAUACUGGAUAUUCACUGGCCUUCGCAUGGGGGUUGGUGGAAAGGUUUUUUCUGGUGGGGGAUGGGCUCGCGGCCUAUCAGCUUGUUGGUGGGGUGAUGGCCUACCAAGGCUUUGACGGGUAGCCGGCCUGAGAGGGUGACCGGUCACAUUGGGACUGAGAUACGGCCCAGACUCCUACGGGAGGCAGCAGUGGGGAAUAUUGCACAAUGGGCGAAAGCCUGAUGCAGCGACGCCGCGUGAGGGAUGGAGGCCUUCGGGUUGUAAACCUCUUUCGCUCAUGGUCAAGCCGCAACACUUGGUUGUGGUGAGGGUAGUGGGUAAAGAAGCGCCGGCUAACUCCGUGCCAGCAGCCGCGGUAAUACGUAGGGCGUGAGCGUUGUCCGGAAUUAUUGAUCGUUAGGGUCGGUAGGUGGUUGAUCACCUCUGCCGUUGAGAUCACUGGCUAUGGUCU